AAGAACUACCUUCUUACCUAUACAUGAUACGACGGACAAAUCUGGGUACAGUCGCGCGUCUUCAAAUUGAUGAGAGUGGAAGAUUCAACUAUAUGUUCAUUGCUUUUGGUGCCAGUAUCGCU
This 122-nucleotide small RNA is filed under the name Arabidopsis thaliana (thale cress). Its description in RNAcentral is "ATSL157630". Lineage: Eukaryota; Viridiplantae; Streptophyta; Magnoliopsida; Brassicales; Brassicaceae. The record is from RNAcentral.